AAUCUUCCACAAUGGGCGGAAGUCUGAUGUAGCAACGCCUCUUGAGCUAAUAUGGUUUUCUGAUCGUAAAGCUCUGUUGUAAGGGAAGAACACAUACUUGAGUCACUGCCCGUACCUUGACGGUACCUCUUCAGAAACCCACGGAUAACUACGUGCCAGCAGCCGCGGUAAUACGUAGGUGGCAAGCGUUCGCCGGAAUUAUUGGGCGUAAAGCGCGCGCAGGAGGUCAUGUAAGUCUGAUGGGAAAGCCCACGGCUCAACCGUGGAGGGUUAUUGGAAACUGGAGGACUUGAGUACAGAAGAGGAAAGCGGAAUUCCACGUGUAGCGGUGAAAUGCGAAGAGAUGUGGAGGAACACCAGUGGCGAAGGCGGCUUUCUGGUCUGUAACUGACGCUGAGGCGCGAAAGCGUGGGGAGCAAAC
Molecule: ribosomal RNA, 421 nt
Filed under: uncultured bacterium
Lineage: Bacteria
Description: partial 16S ribosomal RNA
Rfam family: Bacterial small subunit ribosomal RNA
Source: RNAcentral